Molecule: long non-coding RNA, 980 nt
Organism: Notothenia coriiceps (black rockcod)
Lineage: Eukaryota; Metazoa; Chordata; Actinopteri; Perciformes; Nototheniidae
Exons: 6
Source: RefSeq, a predicted model, not a curated record
GAUUGAGGGGAACUCUUUCAGAUUAAUCUGUGACGCUGCUGGCUCUGUCUUUACCAGAGAGUGGAGAAAGGGAGGCUUAGAUCUGACUCUGACUGUAAACAUGACCCUCACCAACAACAACAGAGAGCUGUCUUUUAGCAGUCUGAAUAAAGACGACACAGGAGAUUAUUCCUGUAUUAUCAGCAACCCCUUCAGCAGCGAGGAAGCAAAGUACUCCAUGAUUGUUAUCUAUGGACCAGAAACAGUUCAUAUCACAGGUCCAAGUCAGAUACAUGUUGGAGACACAUUUAAUUUAACCUGCUCGGCUGAAUCUGUUCCAACUGCCAAUUUACUUCUGGAUGCUGAAUGGGACAGAGAUACACAAUUCUGCUGUGAUUUAUAAAGACAACACUGAAUUAUCUGACAGUGGCAACUACUACUGUGUAGCGUGGAAUGAUAUAACCGGGAGAGGAUUAUUUGCGGUCCAUGAACUGACCGUAACACAUACAGUACCAUCAGGCUUGUCGGGUGGUGGCAUCGCUGGAAUAGUAAUCGCUGUUUUAGUCGUCCUCGGUGUUGUAGCUGCUAUUGUGUGGUACAUCAUUCAUAACAAAAAAAAACAACAACAAAGCACUAACACAAUCAGAAACAACAACAAAGCAGUGACACAAUCUGAUAUUAAAGAACUAGAAGAGGCUGUGUAUGAGAACACUUCAGCGAUAUACGAGAAUGAAUAGACUCAGCCAUCUUCUUUGUGCUAAAGGCCGUUCAGAGGAAGAAGAACUUCACAACAUAAAGACAAAGCGGCUCUGAAAUGUUAUCACAUUAUUAUUUUAAAUGCUUUUUCUAAUGUGUCAGCAAACACUACAUUUACAGUGCAGUAAUACCAUGAAUUUCACCUCUUAAAUGUAAACUAAACGACACAGUGAAACUAGUUUGAUAGUUAACCUUUAUGUUGUGUUCGGGUCUCCCGUGACCCGUUUCAAGUUAAAAUUAAUAAC